Tupaia belangeri (northern tree shrew) is the source of this 101-nucleotide small nuclear RNA. The record is from Ensembl. NCBI's taxonomy places the organism in Eukaryota, Metazoa, Chordata, Mammalia, Scandentia, Tupaiidae.
GUGCUCACUUCAGCACAUAUAUUAAAAUUGGAAUGAAGGAACGAUUAGUAUGGCUCCCACUCAAGGGUGGCAGGCAAAUUUGUGAAACUUUCCAUACUUUU